This 525-nucleotide ribosomal RNA is filed under the name uncultured bacterium. Its description in RNAcentral is "bacterial SSU rRNA". It matches the Rfam family "Bacterial small subunit ribosomal RNA", at positions 984 to 1509 of the family's 1533-position model. The record is from RNAcentral.
ACAUCCAGCGAACUUGGCAGAGAUGCCUUGGUGCCUUCGGGAACGCUGAGACAGGUGCUGCAUGGCUGUCGUCAGCUCGUGUUGUGAAAUGUUGGGUUAAGUCCCGNAACGAGCGCAACCCUUAUCCUUUGUUGCCAGCGAUUCGGUCGGGAACUCAAAGGAGACUGCCGGUGAUAAACCGGAGGAAGGUGGGGAUGACGUCAAGUCAUCAUGGCCCUUACGAGUAGGGCUACACACGUGCUACAAUGGCGCAUACAAAGAGAAGCGACCUCGCGAGAGCAAGCGGACCUCAUAAAGUGCGUCGUAGUCCGGAUCGGAGUCUGCAACUCGACUCCGUGAAGUCGGAAUCGCUAGUAAUCGUGGAUCAGAAUGCCACGGUGAAUACGUUCCCGGGCCUUGUACACACCGCCCGUCACACCAUGGGAGUGGGUUGCAAAAGAAGUAGGUAGCUUAACCCUCGGGAGGGCGCUUACCACUUUGUGAUUCAUGACUGGGGUGAAGUCGUAACAAGGUAAGCGUAGCGAG